RNAcentral lists this long non-coding RNA (4451 nucleotides) under Paramuricea clavata. The record is from RNAcentral. Lineage: Eukaryota; Metazoa; Cnidaria; Anthozoa; Malacalcyonacea; Plexauridae.
GGAUUAAUUCCAUUUUGGGGCGUCGAGUAGAGCGAAGUAAAAUCGCUAAAUUCUUGGCCGAUUUUUAAAGCAAAAUUAAACAAGAAAUGUUGAAUUCUCGACGCCAAGUAAAAGUCAAAGGUAUGUAAUGUUUGUUUUAUGUGAAGUUAUCGUAUUUUGGCGAGUAAAAGUGUUUGAAAAUACUUGUUGAAGUUGAGAACCGCAAAGCGGCUUCGGCGUAAAUAUGUCGUAUUAGAUUUUCGUCUUGUCCUGGCAUAAAGUCGAUGAAUUUAGCAUCGCUUUUCGUUGUUUUUAGUUUACAGUAGUAGACGUACAUAUCCAUAAAGGAUUCAGUGUGUUUUGUAGCUAAAUUUUGUUUAAAAUUUGUUAUUUUAGUGACGAAGUCGAGUAAAAUCACAUUCUUGCCUGAACUUUGGAAUCAAAAUUAAACCAAAAUUAAAGAAGAAAUGUUGAAUUCUCGACGCCAAGUGAAACUUAAAGGUAUGUAAUGUUUGUUUAUGUGAAAUUAUCGUAUUUUGGCGAGUAAAAGUGUUCAAAAAUUCUUGUUGAAGUUGUGGCCGUAAGCCUGCUCGACCUAUUAAUUUGUCGCCGCAUUCGGUUUUUGUCUUGUCAGUUGUCCUUGUAUAAAGUUGCUGAAUUUUAGUAUUGCCUUUCAUUAUCUUUAGUUUAAAAUAGUAGAACAAUAUAUCCAUAAAGUAUUCAGUGUGUUUUGUAGCUAAAUUUUCUUUAAAAUUUAUCAUUUUAGUGAAAAUUCUCAGCCACGUGAGAUGGCCACGAAGUCAAGUAAAAUCACAUUCUUGCCUGAACUUUGGAAUCAAAAUUAAACCAAAAUUAAAGAAGAAAUGUUGUAGUCUCAACGCCAAGUGAAACACAAAGGUAUAAUAAUGUUUGUUUUAUGUGAAAUUAAAGAAUUUUGGCGAGUAAAAGUGUUGAAAAAUUCUUGUUGAAGUUGUGGACCGCAAGCCGACUUCGGCCUAAAUAUGUCGCAUUAGAUUUUCGUCUUGUUCUGGCAUAAACUCGCUGAAUUUAGCAUUGCUUUUUGUUAUCUUUAGUUUAAAAUAGUAGAAGAACAUAUCCGUAAAGUAUUAAGUGUGUUUUGUAGCUAAAUUUAAUUUAAUAUUUGUCAUUUUAGUGAAAAUUCUCAUCCACGUGGGAUAGGGGAAGUCUAGUAAAAUCACAUUCUUCCCUGAACUUUGGAAUCAAAAUUAAACCAAAAUUAAAGAGGACAUGUUGAAUUCUCAACGCCAAGUGAAACUCAAAGGUAUGUAAUGUUUUUUUUUUUAAAUGAAAUUAUCGAAUUUUGGCGAGUAUUAGGGACCGGUCAUUAUUUAUGGCAGGGGUGGGGGCCGAAGAGAAAAUGGUGGGGUAACUGAAAAAUAAUAGUUGCUUUAGGUGGGGUGGCCAAAAAAUCCUUGCAUGCAGAGGUGGGGUAAAAAAACAUAACCUUACUUUAAUCACACACAAUACAAUAUAUACUACCAUCAGAAUUUAAUAUGUGAUUAUUCUAAUUUUUUAAUAAAAUAUUAUUGCUUUCCAAAAUGCUGACAGAAACACCCCCUCAACCCACCCGUAAAGGGUUAUUUUUAUAUUCAUUUACACACAAAAUCUCCAAAGACUCCAAUUACCAGACAAAAUAUAUACUGCCUAUAUACAGGGUGUAUCAAAAUAAACGCAAUUCAUCUUUUGUGCUUAAUAACUUUCGAAAUACUAUUUCUAGUUAAACGCUUUUAGGCUUACUUCAAAGCCUGUUUUUUUUUCUUUCAAACAAACUAUUAUCCUUGUCUCCAACGCUAGUAAUAAUUGCACAGGAAAAGAUUUAGUAAAACCUAUCAUAUUUAGUUGCUGUUUAAUUAUGCAAGUUUAGUAUGUUAUUGUUUAGUCGGUUUAAAUGUUAGAAUUUUCUUCUUUAAACUUUAAUGUUGUCGUCACUACAUCUGGAAAACCACGUAAGAACAAAUUAAAAGUAUUUUAAAAGAGACCAGGUUGUUUGAAAAUCCUAAACGAAUGCUAAAAAUCAUAGAAUCAAAACAUUCUGGUUUCUGAGCCAAAUUGUAAACAGAAAUUAUAGCAAGCUGAUGUCAGUCAGCUUAGAUGGUCCAAGCCAAAAUUAUAUCGCAUUUGAAGUUUCAAACUGUGUUAAAUAUAGUGGAAGAAAAGCCGUAAUUAUACUUAUUGUUACAAUCCAUUUAUUAAAAUGCAACAUUUUUUUGUUUUAAUGAAAAAAUCAGUUAUUUUCAUGAGAACGAUUUGUUAUUCCAUCUCAAUUUUUUAAUCUCCAAUCGCAAUAACGUAAAGUAUUAUUACCCGCGAACCAAUGAGUCAAAUUUAAGAAACAACCCACUGUUAGAAAGCUGAAUGGCUACGCUUUAAAAUGAAUGUAAACUUUAACGUUUUCGUCUAUUAUUUGUUUAGCAAUUUACAUUUCAGUCGAGGAUUGCGCUUUUUUUGAUACACCCUGUAUAGGGGCUGUUUAUAUGGUGCAACUGCAAGCCAUCCCCAGGGUACCCAAGCUGGCCCAGUUUUGGCAAGAUCCUGCCUUUGUUGUUAUUUCUUACUAAGUUCACCUUGUGUAUAUAUGGGUAAAGAGCGGGCCCAGCUAUAGCUAAGUGAGAUCCCGCCCCUUUAGCCGGAGAUCUUGCUUCAGGAAAAGUGACCUUAAGUCUGUAGCCCCUAACCCCGGGCAUCCAGCCUCACCCCCAUAUAAACAUCCUCUUAUUACAUAUCUCAAAAAGUAUAUGUACAGUCUAUUAAAUUUUCAGGAUUUAAUUUUUGGGCAUCUACACUUGAUACUGCAUAACUAAUAUUUAUAUCCAGUAUGUGCUUGUAAACCAUGUGGACAAUUCAGGUAGCAAUUAAGUCAUGAAAUAUGCCCCAUGCCCCUUGUGAAUCUGGAGAAUCAUUCCAAUGGCUAGUUCACAAUAUGUGCAUCUCUAGCCUUUGGCAACUAGCUGUUUUGCUUUACUAGAAUAAGAUAAAAUAAGAGAAAUCUAUUUACCCGUUUUACAGAUUAAUUUAAUUGUUUAUAUAAUCAUACUUGGAAUUCGGAUGAAUAUCUUUAUCUUCACACUGUAUAACAGCAACUUUUUCUCAUUAAUUUACAGUAACUUUCUAAAUUCAGAUAUUUUCACAUGGGACAAAUACUUUAGUAUCGUUGUAUUGUUUACGAAUUAAAAUAUUAAAUUGAUUUCAUAAACUUCAAGAAUUCCUUGGGAAUUCUUAAGGAAUUCCUUUAAAAUUCUGUGAUAAUACAUGUGAUUGUCUAUAGUAAGGAAAUAUUAAAGGAAUUUCAGAGGAAAUUUUAGAAUUUAGAUAGUUGCAAUCAUGGGUGAGCACAUAUUUUGUGAAACUGUUUCAAAAUAAAAUUGCAUUUUAAUUAAUAAAAAAAUGCAAGAAUGUGAAAGAAACCAAAUUAUAUACAGUGAAACUUUAAAGUGGGAAAGAGAUAGGGUGGUGAAAUACGGUUAGUGUUCUAAAAUAUUGAAGCAUAUGGACUGGUUAAUAUAUGUUUAUGCAUGGGACUAGCAUAUUGCACUAUCUCGUGAAAAGGGAAUAUAGCGUUGAAUACAAACUAUAAAAACCCAUUCAUAUUUAAAUUUUACAAGUAGACAAAUUUUAAGCCUUCAGAUAACUAUAAUUCUUUAUAUAGUACCUUGCUAUUGUAGGGGUAACCCAUAGUAUAAAGGCAUGACUGUUAGUGUGCUUUAAUUACUCCACAAGAAAUAAGGGGCAAGGGAUAUUGGUAAACAAGUAUUACCAAUCAAUCCUAUUCCCUUUUAAUUAUAAUGUCCACUGUGGUCAAAGCACCCUAUAAUAAUUAUUAUUUACUCUCUAACAGCAGAUGAUCUUACUCAUCAAGGGCAAUUUUGUACUUUGAUGAGUAAUACGCAUACAAAAUACUAAACUGUUUCAUUACAUAUUUUAUGUCUGAACCUUUGGCAUUGCAACAAAAUAGGUUUGGGUGGGGUAAAAAAAAAUUCUGGCAUUCCACCAGUGGGGUAGCUAGAAACUUUGUUUCGAAAAAGGUGGGGUAAUGAUUUUUUCCGGCUUCAUUAUACUUUCUCUUCGGCCCCCACCCCUGCCAUAAAUAAUGACCGGUCCCUAAAAGUGUUCAAAAAUUCUUGUUCAAGUUGAGGACCGCAAGCCGGCUUGGGCGUAAAUAUGUCGCAUUAAAUUUUUGUCCCGUCCUGGCAUAAACUCGCUGAAUUUAUCAUUGCUUUUCGUUAUCUUUAGUUUAAAAUAGUAGAAGAGCAUAUCCAUAAAGUUUCAGUGUGUUUUAUAGCUAAAUUAAAUUUAAUAUUUGUCAUUUUAGUUAAACAAUUCUCAUCCACGUGGGAUUAAUGAAGUCAAGUAAAAUCACAUUCUUGCCUGAAUUUUGGAAUCAAAAUUAAACCGAAAUUAAAGAAGAAAUGUUGGAGUCUUGACUUCAAGAGAAACUCAAAGACUGAAUUGAG